RNAcentral lists this small nuclear RNA (167 nucleotides) under Helianthus annuus (common sunflower). RNAcentral describes it as "U2 spliceosomal RNA". It matches the Rfam family "U2 spliceosomal RNA". From Rfam's summary of the family: U2 is a small nuclear RNA (snRNA) component of the spliceosome (involved in pre-mRNA splicing). Complementary binding between U2 snRNA (in an area lying towards the 5' end but 3' to hairpin I) and the branchpoint sequence (BPS) of the intron results the bulging out of an unpaired adenosine, on the BPS, which initiates a nucleophilic attack at the intronic 5' splice site, thus starting the first of two transesterification reactions that mediate splicing. The record is from RNAcentral. Lineage: Eukaryota; Viridiplantae; Streptophyta; Magnoliopsida; Asterales; Asteraceae.
AUACCUUUCUCGGCCUUUUGGCUAAGAUCAAGUGUAGUAUCUGUUCUUAUCAGUUUAAUAUCUGAUACGUGGGCCAUCGGCCCACUCGAUAUUAAUCUUAUUUUUUAUGGAAAAAGACUCAUGACAAUAGCUUGCUAUUGGGGUCUUUGAGCGUUGGCGCACCCCUC